AUGCGCCAUCGGGUUCCGCUGUUCUCUAAACUCCGUUUGGGUGCCGGGGUGGUGGUCUUAGGAGGAGGAGAGGAGGAAGAAGAGGAGGAGCAGGAGAGCCCCGCAGGUGCAGGGGAGGUCGUUUGUGGUGGAGAGGGCAUCGACGACGGCCGUCCCAGCGGCGCUGCUGAAGGUGGGCGAUGCGCUGCGCGCGCCCCGGCGGCUGUUCACGGAGGACGACGUGGCGGCGUACGCCGGGGUGAGCGGCGACCGCAACCCCGUCCACCUGGACGGGCGGGUUCCAGCGCGGCCGCGUGGUGCACGGCAUGCUCUUCGCCUCCCUCUUCCCCACCCUCAUCGCCUCCCGCGUCCCUGGAGCCGUGUACGCGAGCCAGUCCCUCAAGUUCGCGGCGCCGGUGCACGUCGGUGGUUGCGCAGGUGCAGGCGCUCCACAUCAAGGCCACCGGCGCAAGGCACGUCGUCAAGUUCGCCACCAAGUGCUUCACGGACGAUGAGGAGAGUCAUGCCAUUGACGGCGAGGCCAUGGCUUUUCUGCCCACGCUGCAGCUCAGUGCAGAGGCAAUCGAGUGA
RNAcentral lists this ribosomal RNA (570 nucleotides) under Triticum aestivum (bread wheat). Its description in RNAcentral is "partial small subunit ribosomal RNA". The record is from RNAcentral. Lineage: Eukaryota; Viridiplantae; Streptophyta; Magnoliopsida; Poales; Poaceae.